Colias croceus (clouded yellow) is the source of this 307-nucleotide long non-coding RNA. RefSeq lists it as uncharacterized. NCBI's taxonomy places the organism in Eukaryota, Metazoa, Arthropoda, Insecta, Lepidoptera, Pieridae. The record is from RefSeq and is a predicted model, not a curated record. The transcript has 2 exons.
CUGACAUGUCUGAUGUCAAUAGUGAUAAGUGAAAAUUGCUCAGGAAAAUUGAAAUAAUUUAAUAACUUUAAAUUGUAUUUAGAAAAACGAAUUAGAAAAGCAGAAAUUCCUUUGAUGAAGAUAAUGGAUGUAAAAUUAAUGUUGAUUUUAUGUAUUCCAUGUAACUACAAUUAAAUUGUGUUGUAUAUAUAUUGAGAUAUUCAAAGAGUUGUUGUUGAGUAUGUGAAUAAAUAAUAAAUUAUUAUCAAUAUUGUUCUAAUGGAAUCUUGAGUAGGAAGAGGAAUACAUAUUAUAAAGAUUUAAUGCC